Molecule: unclassified non-coding RNA, 334 nt
Filed under: soil metagenome
Description: partial contains 5.8S ribosomal RNA, internal transcribed spacer 2, and large subunit ribosomal RNA
Rfam family: 5.8S ribosomal RNA (bases 1-120)
Source: RNAcentral
GAUGAAGAACGUAGCGAAAUGCGAUAAGUAAUGUGAAUUGCAGAAUUCAGUGAAUCAUCGAAUCUUUGAACGCACAUUGCGCCCAUUAGUAUUCUAGUGGGCAUGCCUGUUCGAGCGUCAUUUCAACCCUUAAGCCUAGCUUAGUAUUGGGAAUCGACUUUACUGUCGUUCCUCAAAUUCAACGGCGGAUUUAUAGCAAUCUCUGAACGUAGUAAUUUUUUUUCUCGUUUUUGAAAUACUAUAAACCUCAGCCGCUAAACCCCCAAUUUCUUAUGGUGGACCUCGGAUCAGGUAGGAAUACCCGCUGAACUUAAGCAUAUCAAUAAGCGGAGGA